RNAcentral lists this long non-coding RNA (255 nucleotides) under Sorghum bicolor (sorghum). RNAcentral describes it as "long non-coding RNA (SBIC_LNC008227)". The record is from RNAcentral. Lineage: Eukaryota; Viridiplantae; Streptophyta; Magnoliopsida; Poales; Poaceae.
CCGGAGUGGAAUAAGACGAUCUCUCCAGCGAGCAGUCACGAAAGACCCUCCCCAAAAACCUGAUUGCUCGCACACCCGAGCAGAUGUCUCGAUGCAUGGCGUCGGGUUCCGGAGGCCUGCUCUACCGAUCUCUGUGCGCGCAGAGGUUCGGGACGGGGUUGAAUAGAAAGCAAUGCGACUGGAAUGGAAAGGAAUGACGGAUUGCUGAUUGUGUCUCGCAGGGGAGGAAGGUGACUCGUGUAUGGAAUAUAUAGG